Molecule: long non-coding RNA, 617 nt
Organism: Marmota flaviventris (yellow-bellied marmot)
Lineage: Eukaryota; Metazoa; Chordata; Mammalia; Rodentia; Sciuridae
Source: RefSeq, a predicted model, not a curated record
UAGUUCACGCUUGUAAAAGCCUCUCCUUUUCAUCUCUCUGCCUCCAGAGCUGCCUGGGAAGUGUGUGUGUGUGCCCAACACAGACGCUUGCAGUUUCAGAGAGCAAAAUAGAUGGAUAUGAUUGUGACACGAUGUCUGAAAACUCUCAAAAGUAUAAUAAGUUUUUCUUCCAGGGAGACAUUUGAUUGUAAGUAUGAGAAAUAGAAGACCACAAUGCCAGUUAGUGAAAACAGAAUGUUGGAACUGGAGUGUAUUCAGAGAAUCUAAAGGAUGAUGCUCUCGGCUCUGAUUAAGGCCACAGAUCUUCAAAUGAUCUUCAAGUUUCUGCCUUACUUUACAACUUCAUCAUGUACCAUAUUCUUCCCACCUCUUCAUGCUCAGAUAUACUGGCCUACCUUCAAGUCUGACUGUGUCACAGGGCCUUUGCACCUGAUUCCAUAGUCUAGACCCCCUUCCUCCACCUCCUUCUUUGUGUCUGUAGCUCUUACUUAUCCAUUGAAUCUUAUCUCAUUAGUCACUACAUUAUGAAAGCCAUCUCAGACUCCUCCUUUCAGAUUCCCUUUUUUGUGUGCAUUAAUAAACUAUAGUUUGUUGUUGUUUUUCCUGUUUGGCACUUA